CCUACGGGCGGCAGCAGUGGGGAAUAUUGCACAAUGGGCGAAAGCCUGAUGCAGCAACGCCGCGUGAGCGAUGAAGGCCUUCGGGUCGUAAAGCUCUGUCCUCAAGGAAGAUAAUGACGGUACUUGAGGAGGAAGCCACGGCUAACUACGUGCCAGCAGCCGCGGUAAUACGUAGGGGGCUAGCGAUAUCCGUAUUUACUGGGCGGAAAGGGUGCGUAGGUGUUUUCUUUAGUCAGAGGUGAAAGGCUACGGCUCACCCGUAGUACGCCUUUGAAACGGGGAACCUUGAGUGCAGGAGAGGAGAGUGGAAUUCCUAGUGUAGCGGUGAAAUGCGUAGAUAUUAGGAGGAACACCAGUUGCGAAGGCGGCUCUCUGGACUGUAACUGACACUGAGGCACGAAAGCGUGGGGAGCAAACAGGAUUAGAUACCCCGGUAGUC
This 439-nucleotide ribosomal RNA is filed under the name uncultured bacterium. RNAcentral describes it as "partial 16S ribosomal RNA". It matches the Rfam family "Bacterial small subunit ribosomal RNA", at positions 338 to 795 of the family's 1533-position model. The record is from RNAcentral.